AGGAGUGUAGUUAACUUGGUUAUAAUAGGGAUCUCCAAAAUCCCGGUAGUGGGUUCAAAUCCUACCUCUCCUG
Molecule: transfer RNA, 73 nt
Filed under: Phycomyces blakesleeanus
Lineage: Eukaryota; Fungi; Mucoromycota; Mucoromycetes; Mucorales; Phycomycetaceae
Also listed under: 1 other name
Description: tRNA-Trp
Rfam family: tRNA
About the family: Transfer RNA (tRNA) molecules are approximately 80 nucleotides in length.
Source: RNAcentral